This 468-nucleotide ribosomal RNA is filed under the name uncultured bacterium. Its description in RNAcentral is "partial 16S ribosomal RNA". It matches the Rfam family "Bacterial small subunit ribosomal RNA", at positions 28 to 507 of the family's 1533-position model. The record is from RNAcentral.
GACGAACGCUGGCGGCGUGCUUAACACAUGCAAGUCGAACGGACAGGCCCUGCUUUUGUGGGGUGCUCGAGUGGCGAACGGGUGAGUAACACGUGAGUAACCUGCCCUUGACUUUGGGAUAACUUCAGGAAACUGGGGCUAAUACCGGAUAGGAGCUCCUGCUGCAUGGUGGGGGUUGGAAAGUUUCGGCGGUUGGGGAUGGACUCGCGGCUUAUCAGCUUGUUGGUGGGGUAGUGGCUUACCAAGGCUUUGACGGGUAGCCGGCCUGAGAGGGUGAACGGGCACAUGGGGACUGAGAGACGGACCAGACUGCUACGGGAGGCAGCAGUGGGGAAUAUGACACAGUGGGCGGAAGCCUGAGGCAGCAGCGCCGGGUGCGGGAUGACGGGCUUCGGGGUGUAAACCGCUUUCGCCUGUGACGAAGCGUGAGUGACGGUAAUGGGUAAAGAAGCACCGGCUAACUACGUG